Long non-coding RNA from Mya arenaria, 579 nucleotides. RefSeq lists it as uncharacterized. NCBI's taxonomy places the organism in Eukaryota, Metazoa, Mollusca, Bivalvia, Myida, Myidae. The transcript is spliced from 4 exons. The record is from RefSeq and is a predicted model, not a curated record.
CUGAAAACAGUAUGAAAAUGUUUCCGUCGUUCUGUCAAAAAAGGAUUUUAACAGUAGAAGAUUCAUACCAUUUAAUGCCAAGUGUACAAUAAAAACUGAAAUGAAAAUUGCCAACAGAAGUGUCAUGGUCUUGGUGGAAAAUACUGUGCUCUUCGUUGACCUCUGUUUAAUAAUGGCUGGUGAUAGAAAACUAUCAGGAAUGCUUCAAGCUGGCAAUGGACACUGAGAAAUCACAAGGUUUCAAACAUCUAGAAUAUGCUCACAGUCAGUCUUCUAGAUACUCACCUUAAAGGUUUCAGUGUGUUUUAGGAGACUUUUGUCAGAACAGAAUUUUAUACCUACAUACACUGGAGAUACCAGACCAAGCAGAUAAUUACAGAUAUAUUGACACAGAAUCUGAAAUUAAUUGCAUAUCCCAACACAACACAACAUAAGACUUUUAACUGUUAAAUAGGCAGUGAGGCAUUUGUGUAACCUUCAUUAUUUGAAAUGAAAUUUCUUAUAUUUAUUUUAAGUUUGACUUUGCAUUUAAAAGCGAUUAGCAUUAGAUUUUUCAAAUAUAUAUAUAUAUAUAUGUAU